Choloepus didactylus (southern two-toed sloth) is the source of this 5981-nucleotide RNA transcript. It is a transcript of the gene named PCI domain containing 2, with no coding region annotated. The transcript has 16 exons. Lineage: Eukaryota; Metazoa; Chordata; Mammalia; Pilosa; Megalonychidae. The record is from RefSeq and is a predicted model, not a curated record.
UCUGGCUCCGGCUCCGGCUCCGGCGGGAAUUCUCCCUUAGGAGCGAACAGCUAGGGGAAGGAAUGACCAAACCACCUGGGAGCGCUUGGGAUGGGGGUUGGAUCACAGGCCGGAAGUGGCGCCAGCGCGCCAGCGGAAGUGGGAGCUCGACUUGUGUUUCUGGAGACCCAGCAAGGGACGGUGAUCGUAGCUCGCUCUUGCUGUUGACCCCGCGGUCCGCUUCUAUGGCGCACAUCACCAUUAACCAGUACUUGCAGCAGGUAUAUGAAGCAAUUGACACCAGAGACGGAACAUCUUGUGCAGAGUUGGUGUCUUUUAAGCAUCCUCAUGUUGCAAACCCACGGCUUCAAUUGCCCUCUCCAGAAGAGAAGUGUCAACAAGUUUUAGAACCUCCUUAUGAUGAAAUGUUUGCAGCUCAUUUAAGGUGUACUUAUGCAGUAGGAAACCAUGAUUUCAUAGAGGCAUACAAAUGCCAGACUGUGAUAGUCCAAUCAUUCUUGCGAGCAUUUCAGGCCCACAAAGAAGAAAACUGGGCUUUGCCUAUUAUGUAUGCAGUAGCACUUGACCUUCGAAUAUUUGCCAAUAAUGCAGAUCAACAGUUGGUAAAGAAAGGAAAAAGCAAAGUUGGCGACAUGUUGGAAAAAGCAGCAGAAUUAUUAAUGAGCUGUUUCCGCGUCUGUGCCAGUGAUACUCGUGCUGGUAUAGAGGAUUCUAAGAAGUGGGGGAUGCUGUUUCUGGUGAAUCAAUUAUUUAAAAUCUACUUUAAGAUCAACAAACUCCAUUUGUGUAAACCCCUAAUUAGAGCAAUUGACAGCUCAAAUCUGAAAGAUGAUUACAGCACUGCACAGAGAGUUACAUACAAAUACUAUGUUGGACGCAAGGCUAUGUUUGAUAGUGACUUUAAGCAAGCUGAGGAAUAUCUGUCAUUUGCAUUUGAGCAUUGUCACCGCUCAAGUCAGAAGAACAAAAGAAUGAUUCUGAUAUAUCUACUCCCAGUGAAAAUGCUAUUGGGUCAUAUGCCAACUAUUGAGCUUUUGAAAAAGUAUCAUCUUAUGCAGUUUGCUGAAGUAACCAAAGCUGUAAGUGAAGGCAAUCUCUUACUACUGAAUGAGGCUCUAACAAAGCAUGAAACAUUUUUUAUUCGCUGUGGUAUUUUCCUUAUCCUUGAAAAACUGAAGAUCAUCACCUACAGGAAUCUUUUUAAGAAAGUGUAUUUGUUACUCAAAACACAUCAGUUGUCUCUUGAUGCUUUUCUAAUUGCCUUAAAAUUCAUGCAAGUGGAGGAUGUGGAUAUUGAUGAAGUCCAGUGUAUUUUGGCUAAUCUAAUAUACAUGGGUCAUAUUAAAGGCUACAUAUCACAUCAGCAUCAGAAGUUGGUUGUUAGCAAGCAAAACCCAUUCCCUCCAUUAUCUACAGUGUGUUGAAUAUAUAAUCCUGUGGAUAGAACAACAAUUUGUACUUUUGCUUUCAGUCAUGAUGACAUCAGUUGAUAUUGUUACAUUAUUCUCUGAAGCAGGAAAACUCUUCAAGGCACCUUUCUCAGGGAUCCUGAGACUAACACGGGCAUGGCAGUGACCCAGCUUCAGUCAUGCUGAUGAAGAUAAACCCUUAGGUGCUGGGAGAGCAGCAAAAUGGAAGGUACCUGGGUCCCAAAAUAACUAUGUAAAGUCGAGCUGCCCUGUAAGACUGGACCAGUCAACUGAGAAUCUUUUUGUUUCAUACAUGUAGACUUUAUCCUGACUAUUUAACAUGUAGCCUUUAUCCUGACUAUUUAAUACUAUUAUUUUCUUUAUUUUACAUAUGAAGAAAACAAGACAGAGAGAUUACAUGAUUUUCCAAGGGUCCAAGGUCCCACAGCUAACAAACGAUAGAGCUGGGGUUCGAAUCCAGGUAGUCUUACUCCAGAGCACUGCUGUGAGCCACUACGUUAUCAUGUGAGAACAUUUUUCGUGAAGAGACAGGAAUUCACAGAUUUGAGAAGCAGAACAAAAUCCACUAUAGAUAAAAGGAAAUUGCCACCUGGUCAUAUUGCAUAGCAAAAUUGAGGACAAAGAGAAGAUCUUAAAAGCAUCCGGAAAAGACUGUACCUAGAAAGAAAGGGUAAUUUGACAACCAACUUCUUGUGAAUGGAAGUCCUAAGACAUUGAAAUAUCUUUAAGGGUUAACAGGAAAUAGAUCACAUGAGAGCUAUAUGCUUAGCAAAAUCAGAGUAAAAUAAAGACAUUUUCACAAAAUCAAAAACUUAGAGAAUUUAUUAGCUACAGACCCUUAUUAAAAAAACUUCCUAACCUGUGCUGCCCAAUAUGGUAGUCAUUAGCUGCAUGUUAAUGAGCAUUUGAAAUGUGACUGGACCAAAUUGAGAUGUACUAUAAGUGUAAAAUGCACAGCAGAUUUGAAGAUUUAGUAUGAAAAAUAUAUAUAUAUAUAAAAUCUCAACAAUUCUUUAUAUUCAUUGCAUGUUGGAAUAUUUGGAUAUUUUGGGUUAAAUAAGAUGUAUUACCAAAGCUAAUUUCAUCUCUUAUUUGUAUUAAUGUGACUACUGGAAAGUUUUGAAGUACAUAUGUGACUCACAUUAUAUUUCUAUUGGAUGUCCAUCCUUAAAAGGAUGUAUUUCAGGCAGAAGGAAAUGAUUUGCUAGAGGCCCGAGAAGCAAAGAAAAUAGAGAACAUGGGUAAAUCUAAACCCAUAUUUGUGGUAUAAACCAUAAUUAUAAUAAUAAUACCUAUUUGGGAGAGUUUUAAAAAGAAAAGAAUAAAAUACUGGUCAAAAUAGCAGGUGAGCUUAGAGUGAGGUGCUUGAAAUUAUUUGGGAGGAGGCUAAAAAUGCUAUAUAUUGCUAAGUUAAAUGUGCAUGCUAAAAUGUCAAGAGUAACCAUUAAAUAAACAGUAAUAGAGUAUUUACUUUCUAUGCCAGUUAAGGGGGAAAAGGAAAAUAACAAAACCUAAUGCCAAAGAAGAGAAAUUAAGUGAACAAAAUAAUGGAGUGGAAAUUCAAACUAAGUGGUUAGAGUGGAGAGCCUGUGCCCUAAACCAUUGGGAUCUUCUGCCUUCCAGCAGUGGCAUGGCAGUGAUGCCAAGCGUGUCACACUGUGUCAGAGUGGUUUAUAAACUGAAGUGCUAAUAUAAGCUAUGACUUAAAGAUGCUUAUAUUCUAAGAAAAAUGAUAUUGGUAACAGCUUUUUGAAGUACCUACGAAUGGCCCUGGGUGAAGGCCGUAAAUAAUGCUUUAAAUUCUUGUGUAUAGCAAAUAGUGAAGACUUCUGACGUUGUGAAUUUAGCAUUAGAAAGCACUUUGAAAAUGUGAUAUAGAGUGUUAGUAAUUAGUUUACCUAAAUCAUGAUGCCUGUUUCACUUAGUCAUUGCAUUUCUGUUUGGCAAAGAGGGUAGAAAUGACAAACAAGGUGAAAUUUGUAACAUAAAAUUAAAACACAUUUAAAAAAUUUUUUCUGUUACCUGCCAUGGAAAAUUCUGAAGACUCUGUUUGCUUUCCCUUAGUAUUAUGAUGCAAUCAGAACUCAGGAUUCCACAUGCACACUUCUCUUCAUUUGUGAUGACAAAAUGAGAAGAAAAGUCAGUGCCUUCCAAGUCAAACAUCAGAUUUUAUUCAUGAUGUAACUAUUAAAAUAUUAUUUCUUAAUGCUUAUUAUUUUGUGAUAAUUCAUACAUAUGUAGAGCAUAGUGAAAUUAAAUGACCUACUCUAGGUCUUUACGGUUUAACUCAGAUAAUAUAAUAGUCUGGGCAAGCCUUGUAAUUUAAAUAGCACCUUUUUCUUGGCAUUUUUGUUGCUCCAACAUGGACACAGGGAUCGCUGGUUGAAUUAUAGCUAUUUUUCAUUACAGAAAGAAGAAAUGGUCUUUUAAAUUUUAUUGCAUAAGAGGGAAGUACGAUGUGGAAUGAGAGUCCACAAUUGUAAGAAUGAUACUACUUUUUCGAUUUGAGAACUUACCAUUUGGAAUGCACGAUUUGUGAUCCUCACCAAGUUUAUACCCCUUAGCACAACUGCACAUAAAGGAGUCCUGUCCUGGAUGGCAGAAGUGUUGACAGCCAUCUGUUCUCUCUGGGUGACAUUCAUUUUUAGCUGGAAACAUUUAAAAAAUUACAGAAAUGUUAUCAUGAAAAUAGUUGUUUUUAUAAUCUCCUUGUGCAUUGGGGCUCUGCUUUUUCAGUCCAAAUGUUCUCCUUCUUUUGAGAUUGUUAGCUCUUCCUAUAAGCCUUUCCUGUACUUCCGUAUUUCGGGAAUGUGCAUGGAGCCGUCCAUGAAGAGAGUGAGCCAAGGGUCCUGGGCAGAAGGAGCAGAGUUGUGAAGGCCCUAAGGUGUGGCUGAGAGGAAGACUUCCCUUCCGAUUGGGCUGGAGGCCAGCAAGGGAGAGGGCUAGAGAUAAUACUGGAGAUAGAGGUCAGAUUGGGCCCCUACCUUCUUCACAGUUUGGAUAUUUUGCACAUUGUAAUGAGAAGCCAUAGAAGACUUUGGAGCAAGGGAGUUAACAUGGUCUAAUUUAUGUACUAAAAAGAUUACUCUGCUUUUAUGUGAACAGGGGAGGAAACCCUGGGAGCAGAAGGGAGGACACAGGCCAUUAAAGUAGUCCAGGUGUUAAUGUGUUGAAGGAGUGUGAAAGAACCUUCUCACCAUGGUCUGGGUCUUGGCUGAAAGUUCAGUGACAGCAAGACUCAGGUCAAACUUGUCAGGUCCAGGAGACAAGCAAACCACAAAAAUCUCUCUCCUGCCAUUUAUGGAGCCAAUGCUGAACCAUGGGUGUUUUGAUUUGCAGCUUUAAUGGAUGAUUGUGGAAGAAGUUAUGUCUCCCUUCAAGAGUUACUGCUAGGAGGGUGGACUGGCAGGCAGCCUCCAGCUGCCCCACUUUCAGAGUUGUCUCAGCGUUUGGUCACAUUGAGGCCAUUCCCUCCAGAGCUUCUCCCAGUCAAUGGCUAGGCCAGGCAGGGGUACUGAGCCAGGCCGUUUCUGCGUGGGGUAGGACUCUGACAGGCUAUCUUUGCUUGGAGACUCCUAAUCAUCUUGCCCAAGACUUUGUCAGAGGUACCCUGCAGUUUGAGUCUCUUCCGCCCAGUCCACCUUCUCUUCUUUUCUCCUUUCACAGACUCUGGACUUGUAUCAUGAUCUGCAGGCUCUCUCUACCAAAUCCUGCUCCCUCCCCCUUUACCCUUCACAGACAUUUCCCCCAAUAAAUCUGUCGCGUGCCCAAUUCCAUCUCUUAGAAAAAGCAUCAUCUACAAAAUCCACUUGUGGACCAUUGCAAAAAGGGUAGAAAAACAACUUGAUGCAAUGAAAAGUUAGACACCUACCUGACUGCUCAGUCUGAUGAAAUAAGAGGACAAAGAAAAGACCCCGGAGCCCCAGAAAGCAGCCUUCCAUUCUAAUUCACUGGGCAGUUCCCCUGCCACCACUGCCACCAGCUCAGCAGGACUGUGCCAGGCAAGGUCUGCAAACAGGGCAAGUCAAAGUUCAAAGCUCAGCGGAUCGUUGCUCGCCUAUGAAGAGCAGAGCUGUUCUCACAGUCUGUUAUCAGUCUCUCCGUGAGCACAAGUGAAUGCUCUAAAAAAUGAGCUAAUCCAAGAACAUCAGUGGGAAGAAAUUAGGAGAAGCAAAAAUGACCUCACAGGGAAAACAAAACCCUGCUUUUUGCAGGGAGGACACAAUUUUAACAUGAAAAAAUUAACUUGAUGAAUUCAUUGUUCUAAACCAUAUACUUCAGUCCCAUACUUUUCUGUUUAAGACAGAGGAAGGGAAGAUAAGGCAGAGAAAGGAAAAUUCAAGGUAAAAAAGGCCUUGGUAACAUAUUUUGGGGAGAAAGAGAGGUGCAUAGAGUACUUGAGAGUGAAGAUAAAAGUGAUAGUGAUCAGCCCUCCCCUCUACAUGGGAUCAGACACCCAGGGGAGUGACUCUCCCUGGAAAAGUGGAAUAUGACUUCCAGGGAGGAAUGUAAACCCGGCAUUGUGGGAUGGAGAACAUCAUCUUGACCAAA